AUCAGUUCUGCAAAGGCAACGAAUUAGCUGAUGUCGGCUAGAUAAUCAAAGACAAUAUUGCCAUGUAAUUGUCAUCGGACAAACCAGAACAAUUUCAAAGCCAGUUCAGAACUUCUAUACAUAAUUUUUGCAGAGAUGAGCGGGCUGCAACCUUUGAGUCUCCAAUCAGGCAAGCGGCAGAUCCUUUAAUUCAUCAUUCCUAUUUCACAGAAGGGCGCAAUUCAAUGUCUCAAUGCCCUAGAGUCUGAUGAGGCUCAAUAGUCACAGCCGACUCUUGCUGGAUGGCGAAAAGGAUGGUGGUUUCCUUUUUCUCUUUUAAUUUUUUGUUAUUUUUAAAAUAAAAUUGCUUUGAAAGGACAAGCUUGCAUUCUAUUUUAUUAUUUAAUAUUUUUAAAGGAACGAUUGUUUGAGAAAAUUCAUCAAAAGUUGAGGGUCACUUUGUUAACUACUAAAACUUGAGCAUGAAUUGGUUAUUGGCUUA
Long non-coding RNA from Nymphaea colorata (pocket water lily), 481 nucleotides. RefSeq lists it as uncharacterized. NCBI's taxonomy places the organism in Eukaryota, Viridiplantae, Streptophyta, Magnoliopsida, Nymphaeales, Nymphaeaceae. The record is from RefSeq and is a predicted model, not a curated record. The transcript is spliced from 2 exons.